This is a small nuclear RNA of Cervus hanglu yarkandensis (Yarkand deer), 107 nucleotides long. Lineage: Eukaryota; Metazoa; Chordata; Mammalia; Artiodactyla; Cervidae. The record is from Ensembl.
AUGCUCACUUUGGCAGCUCAUAAAUUAAAAUUGGAAUGACACGGAGAAGAUUCACACGGCCCGUUCACAAGGCUGACACAAAAAUUUGUGAAGCUUUUCACAUUUGG